CCUGGUGUCGCUGGUCCCCCGUGGGACGUCCCCGUGGCCUCGGCUGCGUCUGUGCACGGUGGGGUUUGGACCUGCUUAAGUGGGGACACUCUGGAAGUGUCUCUUGUUUGUCAGAGUAAAGAAUCUAUGUAACUUUCUAUUUGUAUUUAUCUCAAUAAAUCCGUGACUGUUUUAUAAACCAUCUUGUGGUGGGUGAGAUGUUUGUGUGUUCCUUGGGUUAAUGAAACAUCUUUCAGGUGUCUGACCAGGGCUGAAUGUGGAAUUUUUCAUACUGAGCUGUAAAAAAAAAAUCCAUUAGGUACCCAGAGUUGCAAAUUAGCUCUUCUUGCACUUUUUCCUCCAAGUGAGCAUGCCACAAGUGCUUCAACUCAUCCUGAUGGCUGGAAAACGCCUGCAUUAUUUUAAUUCAGCUGUCUGCCAUUUUACAUGUCACUUUCUCAACAAGAUGCUUAAUCCAGGUGGUUUUGUAUAGAUAGAAGAAACAACACAAAGAAUGCAUAAAAUCCUUUUCCUUGGUUAUCUCAAAACACCAUUAGAAGGCUGAGGUUGCCUGCUCUUGGGUGUUCCUGUGAGGCCAAGGGCCUUGGCUGUGUUAUGAGAAUCAGAGGCACAAACUGUUUGAUAUCCCUGUGUAUUAAAGGUUCUCCCUACCAGGUAUAAAGCAGGAAACAGAAGGAUGUGCCUCAAGAACAAAGGGUCUCCUUUCAAAUGGAAGCUGAGAAAACCACCGUGGAAGAUGCAGCCCAGCAUGGAAAUGGUUUUGCCGGAGGACCAGCAGCACGAGCACCUGAAAAUUGCUCCUGAGAGGCCUCUCAGCAACCCUGCAGAACUGAUGUUUGGGUUUAUUACCAAAAGAAAAGCUCUUCCUGAAAGGAAUGUGAUACAGGAUUGUUUCUCAGGUAGUCUGGGUUUAGGAGCUGUCUCUGGAAUUGAGGCCCAAGGUCUUGGCUGCCUCUUGUAGAGUCUGGGCUCACGUGGCCAGUGCUGGGUGUCCUCUUGCCCCAAAGCUCAGGUCAGCUUCCAGUACACUUAAGAGGAGGACUGCAAAAAGGAACAAUUUCUAGAUGAUUUUUAUAGCACUUAAUAGCUACAGAUGAAAGGAAAAGCCAAAAUAAUGUUCCCUCCAAGGGAUAGCUGAGAGUAAAUGUCAUUGGAGAGCAGAGAAUCAAGUGGGGCAGAGUAACAGGACACAAGCAGGGAGGGGGUAGCUGAUCCAGGGGGAUUCCUGCAGUGAGCAAGCAGCCCUGGUUGAUAGCUGAGAAGAAUAGCACUGAAAGGUCUGUGUUUAUUCUGCAGAGCCCACCUGGGAGUCACUGAGGACUCGACAGGCACCACAUGGAGUUCCCGGGAGCAGAGCAGAGCAAGGAACGAGUGGAGCUUCCCUGGAACUGGCUGUGGCCAGCACAGAGGUCGUGUGGGAAGGGCCAAGUUUCUCCUGAGACGUGAGUUCCUGAGUUGGGAGCACAGCGUUCAAAGGCAGCCAGAAUCCACAGGGAGCUGUGCCCGAGGAUCCUGCUGACCAGGAACGUUUCGAGAGGAAGGUGGUUUGCAGAGGGGAGCCAAAAGCUAUUAACUUUCUCCUGUGCUUCCAGCAGCCCGUUUGGGUUGGUUUGGUGCCUGAGCCAGGCUGCAAUUGAGGUCAGUGCUUUGGUUUCCCUUCAAGCUCCAGUUCUCUAUACACUGUUCUGUUUGUAACGUUUGCUUGACAUGACUGUCUGCUCUGGGUUGAGGGUGUUUUUUUAGAAUUCCUGUGUGUACAAAGCUAAUAAAGGAACUGUCAGCUCAGAAAGCCCCUCUUAAAAUACAGCCCUGCUGGUUUGGGGUAAGAAAUGCACAGAUCCCUUGGCCAAGCCUCCUCUGUGGAAUUUGUGAUGCUGUUGCAAUUCCUUUGGCUUCCAGUAGCCAAACAACCCCUGGGGUCAAGCAGAAGUCAAGGUAUAAAAAUGGCUGGCUGUGAGCCCCUUACCUGUCAGCUGCCACGUGUUGGAGGGAUGUGGGGACUGCAGCCCUUCUGCUCCCUCAGCUGCUGAGUGUUUGUGGGCAUAAUUCAAAUGUGUGUGUGUGUGUUUGAAUUCCAGCUUUUAUUGAUUGAAUUGGUCCCUGAUAAUAAACAGUAUAAAUAAAUCAGGUGGGAGUUAAAGCAUUGGGGAGGGGAAAAUUAAAUUCAGUGCAGUGACCUCGAACAGAGUGUAAUUUCAGAAGUGCCUUAAAUAUGCUGAUGGCAUAAAAUAAGGCUGGGGAAGUUGGAGGGGAGGGGAGAGAGAACAAAACAAAAUGAUUUGGAUUUAUCAGGAUUGCAGGCAUAUAUGGCUUAUGCAGUUUAUUGUAGGGGAGUGUCAGUCAUGAGGCCAGGGACCAAAAGUGAUUGGAGAGCCGUGGGAAUGAGGGGGAUGUGGACACAGAUCUGAGCAUGGGCAGCACCAGGGAAGGCUCUUCCUGGGAGCAAAGCAAAGAGGAAGAGGAUGGGGGGGAUACAGCCAUGCCAGCAGGAAUUACAGGGACAGUCAGGCCUUGUCAAUUGGUGUAAAACAUUAAAACAUGCAGGAAUUCUCUCGGGCUGCUUUGAUAAAGCCAAA
Molecule: long non-coding RNA, 2576 nt
Organism: Empidonax traillii (willow flycatcher)
Lineage: Eukaryota; Metazoa; Chordata; Aves; Passeriformes; Tyrannidae
Exons: 3
Source: RefSeq, a predicted model, not a curated record